Cynocephalus volans (Philippine flying lemur) is the source of this 133-nucleotide small nucleolar RNA. RefSeq annotates it as small nucleolar RNA SNORA51. The record is from RefSeq and is a predicted model, not a curated record. Lineage: Eukaryota; Metazoa; Chordata; Mammalia; Dermoptera; Cynocephalidae. The transcript has a single exon.
AGCUUCUUGGUGCUUACCACAGGCUGUGUUCUUACAUUGGCUGUAUAGAAAGAGGAGGCAGAGUAAAUCUACCCCAUAUACACCUCAGCCAGGCCUUGAGCCCAGUCUGUAUUGUGAAUGGGGGGGGGCAUGG